This 76-nucleotide transfer RNA is filed under the name Candidatus Omnitrophota bacterium. RNAcentral's name for it is "Candidatus Omnitrophica bacterium tRNA-Glu". It matches the Rfam family "tRNA". From Rfam's summary of the family: Transfer RNA (tRNA) molecules are approximately 80 nucleotides in length. The record is from RNAcentral. Lineage: Bacteria; Pseudomonadati; Candidatus Omnitrophota.
GACCCCAUCGUCCAGUGGUUUAGGACACCAGAUUUUCGAUCUGGUAACACGGGUUCGAAUCCCGUUGGGGUCGCCA